RNAcentral lists this transfer RNA (74 nucleotides) under Methanosarcinales archaeon. Its description in RNAcentral is "tRNA-Pro". The record is from RNAcentral. RNAcentral also lists the same sequence under 1 other name. Lineage: Archaea; Methanobacteriati; Methanobacteriota; Methanomicrobia; Methanosarcinales.
GGGACAGUGGGGUAGCCUGGUUAUCCUCGAGCGUUUGGGACGCUUGGACUGCGGUUCGAAUCCGCGCUGUCCCA